Molecule: ribosomal RNA, 440 nt
Filed under: uncultured bacterium
Lineage: Bacteria
Description: bacterial SSU rRNA
Rfam family: Bacterial small subunit ribosomal RNA
Source: RNAcentral
CCUACGGGAGGCUGCAGUAAGGAAUAUUGGUCAAUGGACGCAAGUCUGAACCAGCCAUGCCGCGUGGAGGAUGAAGGUCCUCUGGAUUGUAAACUUCUUUUAUCUGGGAAGAAACCCAUAGAUUCUUCUGUGGUUGACGGUACCAGAUGAAUAAGCACCGGCUAACUCCGUGCCAGCAGCCGCGGUAAUACGGAGGGUGCAAGCGUUAUCCGGAUUCACUGGGUUUAAAGGGUGCGUAGGCGGGUUGAUAAGUCCGUGGUGAAAUCUCCGAGCUUAACUCGGAAACUGCCGUGGAUACUAUCGGUCUUGAAUGUCGUGGAGGUAAGCGGAAUAUGUCAUGUAGCGGUGAAAUGCUUAGAUAUGACAUAGAACACCAAUUGCGUAGGCAGCUUACUACACGAUUAUUGACGCUGAGGCACGAAAGCGUGGGGAGCAAACAG